AGGGAAUCUUCCACAAUGGACGCAAGUCUGAUGGAGCAACGCCGCGUGAGUGAAGAAGGUUUUCGGAUCGUAAAGCUCUGUUGUUGGUGAAGAAGGAAUAGAGGUAGUAACUGGCCUUUAUUUGACGGUAAUCAACCAGAAAGUCACGGCUAACUACGUGCCAGCAGCCGCGGUAAUACGGUAGGUGGCAAGCGUUGUCCGGAUUU
RNAcentral lists this ribosomal RNA (206 nucleotides) under uncultured bacterium. Its description in RNAcentral is "partial 16S ribosomal RNA". It matches the Rfam family "Bacterial small subunit ribosomal RNA", at positions 356 to 552 of the family's 1533-position model. The record is from RNAcentral.